This 24-nucleotide non-coding RNA is filed under the name Arabidopsis thaliana (thale cress). The record is from RNAcentral. Lineage: Eukaryota; Viridiplantae; Streptophyta; Magnoliopsida; Brassicales; Brassicaceae.
AUCGUUUGACUUGACACGUGGUAC